RNAcentral lists this ribosomal RNA (406 nucleotides) under uncultured bacterium. Its description in RNAcentral is "partial 16S ribosomal RNA". It matches the Rfam family "Bacterial small subunit ribosomal RNA", at positions 29 to 526 of the family's 1533-position model. The record is from RNAcentral.
AUUGAACGCUGGCGGCAGGCCUAACACAUGCAAGUCGAACGAGAGGCGGACGGGUGAGUAAGGUAUGUGAAACUGCCCGAUGGAGGGGGAUAACUACUGGAAACGGUAGCUAAUACCGCAUACCAUCGGAUGUGCCCAGAUGGGAUAUGCUAGUAGGUGGGGUAACGGCCUACCUAGGCGACGAUCAGUAGCCGACCUGAGAGGGUGAUCGGCCACACUGGAACGGAGACACGGCCCAGACUCCGACGGGAGGCAGCAGUGGGGAAUAUUGCACAAUGGGCGCAAGCCUGAUGCAGCCAUGCCGCGUGUAUGAAGAAGGCCUUCGGGUUGUAAAGUACUUUCAGCGGGGAGGCGUUACUCGCAGAAGAAGCACCGGCUAACUCCGUGCCAGCAGCCGCGGUAAUUC